Molecule: ribosomal RNA, 543 nt
Filed under: uncultured archaeon
Lineage: Archaea
Description: bacterial SSU rRNA
Rfam family: Bacterial small subunit ribosomal RNA
Source: RNAcentral
CAGCAGCCGCGGUAACACGUAGGGGGCGAGCGUUGUCCGGAAUUACUGGGCGUAAAGGGCGCGUAGGCGGCCUAUUAAGUCAGAUGUGAAACCCCUGGGCUUAACCUAGGGCUUGCAUUUGAAACUGAAAGGCUUGAGGGCAGGAGAGGAAAGCGGAAUUCCCAGUGUAGCGGUGAAAUGCGUAGAUAUUGGGAGGAACACCAGUGGCGAAGGCGGCUUUCUGGACUGAACCUGACGCUGAGGCGCGAAAGCCAGGGUAGCAAACGGGAUUAGAUACCCCGGUAGUCCUGGCUGUAAACGAUGGAUACUAGGUGUGGGAGGUAUCGACCCCUUCUGUGCCGCAGUUAACACAUUAAGUAUCCCGCCUGGGGAGUACGGCCGCAAGGCUGAAACUCAAAGGAAUUGACGGGGGCCCGCACAAGCGGUGGAGCAUGUGGUUUAAUUCGAUGCAACGCGAAGAACCUUACCAGGUCUUGACAUCCCUCUGACCGGUAUAGAGAUAUACCCUCUCUUCGGAGCAGAGGAGACAGGAGGUGCAUGGCC